UCCGGGGUGGCGCAACAGGUAGCGCAACGGAUUGUUAAUCCGGAGAUUGCGGGUUCGAGCCCCGCCCCCGGAG
Molecule: transfer RNA, 73 nt
Filed under: Acidimicrobiia bacterium
Lineage: Bacteria; Bacillati; Actinomycetota; Acidimicrobiia
Also listed under: 1 other name
Description: tRNA-Asn
Rfam family: tRNA
About the family: Transfer RNA (tRNA) molecules are approximately 80 nucleotides in length. Their secondary structure includes four short double-helical elements and three loops (D, anti-codon, and T loops).
Source: RNAcentral